CAGCAGCCGCGGUAAUACGGAGGGCGCGAGCGUUGUCCGGAAUUAUUGGUCGUAAAGCGCGCGCAGGCGGUCCCUUAAGUCUGAUGUGAAAGCCCACGGCUCAACCGUGGAGGGUCAUUGGAAACUGGGGGACUUGAGUGCAGAAGAGGAGAGCGGAAUUCCACGUGUAGCGGUGAAAUGCGUAGAGAUGUGGAGGAACACCAGUGGCGAAGGCGGCUCUCUGGUCUGUAACUGACGCUGAGGCGCGAAAGCGUGGGGAGCAAACAGGAUUAGAUACCCUGGUAGUCCACGCCGUAAACGAUGAGUGCUAAGUGUUAGAGGGGUUAAACCCUUUAGUGCUGUAGCUAACGCGUUAAGCACUCCGCCUGGGGAGUACGGCCGCAAGGCUGAAACUUAAAGGAAUUGGCGGG
RNAcentral lists this ribosomal RNA (410 nucleotides) under uncultured microorganism. RNAcentral's name for it is "bacterial SSU rRNA". It matches the Rfam family "Bacterial small subunit ribosomal RNA", at positions 509 to 917 of the family's 1533-position model. The record is from RNAcentral.